AGCGAACGCUGGCGGCAUGCCUAACACAUGCAAGUCGAACGAGAGCUUCGGGUCUAGUGGCGCACGGGUGCGUAACGCGUGGGAAGGUGCCCUAAGGUUCGGGAUAAUACUCCUAAAGGGGUGAUAACACCGGGAAAUGUAUUCGGAUCAAAGAUUGUUCGUCUUUGGGUGGGCCGGGGUUGGAUUAGCUUGUUGGUAGGGUAAAAGCCUAUCACGGCGACGAUCCAUAGCUGGUCUCAGAGGAUGAUCAGCCACACUGGCUCUGAGCCACGGGACGGACUCCUACGGAAGGCAGCAGUGCGGAAUAUUGGCCAAUGGGCGAAAUCCUGAUCCAGCUAUGCCGCUUGAGUGCUGAAGGCCUUAGAGUUGUAAAGCUCUUUUGCCCGGGAUGAUAAUGACAGUACCGGGAGAAUAAGCUCCGGCUAACUCCGUG
This 433-nucleotide ribosomal RNA is filed under the name uncultured bacterium. Its description in RNAcentral is "partial 16S ribosomal RNA". It matches the Rfam family "Bacterial small subunit ribosomal RNA", at positions 29 to 507 of the family's 1533-position model. The record is from RNAcentral.